GGGCCCAUAGCUUAGUUGGUAAGAGCAAUCGACUCAUAAUCGAGAGGUCCCAGGUUCAACUCCUGGUGGGCCCA
RNAcentral lists this transfer RNA (74 nucleotides) under Coxiella-like endosymbiont. It matches the Rfam family "tRNA". From Rfam's summary of the family: Transfer RNA (tRNA) molecules are approximately 80 nucleotides in length. The record is from Rfam by way of RNAcentral. Lineage: Bacteria; Pseudomonadati; Pseudomonadota; Gammaproteobacteria; Legionellales; Coxiellaceae.